AUGCCCUAGUAACGGCGAGUGAAGCGGCAACAGCUCAAAUUUGAAAUCUGGCCCUCUGGGCCCGAGUUGUAAUUUGUAGAGGGCGCUUUGGUGUUGGCCCCGGCCUAAGUUCCUUGGAACAGGACGUCACAGAGGGUGAGAACCCCGUACGUGGCCGGCGGCCUUCGCUGUGUAAAGCCCCUUCGACGAGUCGAGUUGUUUGGGAAUGCAGCUCUAAAUGGGAGGUAAAUUUCUUCUAAAGCUAAAUACUGGCCAGAGACCGAUAGCGCACAAGUAGAGUGAUCGAAAGAUGAAAAGCACUUUGGAAAGAGAGUCAAAAAGCACGUGAAAUUGUUGAAAGGGAAGCGCUUGCAGCCAGACUUGCCUGUAGUUGCUCACCUGGGCUCUUGCCCAGCGCACUCUUCUGCGGGCAGGCCAGCAUCAGUUCAAGCGGUCGGACAAAAGCCCUAGGAAUGUGGCUCCUUCCGGGGAGUGUUAUAGCCUAGGGCAUAAUGCGGCCAGCUUGGACUGAGGUCCGCGCAUUUGCUAGGAUGCUGGCGUAAUGGUUGUAAGCGGCCCGUCUUGAAACACGGACCAAGGAGUCUAACAUCUAUGCGAGUGUUUGGGUGUCAAGCCCGAGCGCGAAAUGAAAGUGAACGGAGGUGGGAACCCCCCGGGGCGCACCAUCGACCGAUCCUGAUGUCUUCGGAUGGAUUUGAGUAAGAGCAUAGCUGUUGGGACCCGAAAGAUGGUGAACUAUGCCUGAAUAGGGUGAAGCCAGAGGAAACUCUGGUGGAGGCUCGCAGCGGUUCUGACGUGCAAAUCGAUCGUCAAAUUUGGGCAUAGGGGCGAAAGACUAAUCGAACUAUCUAGUAGCUGGUUCCUGCCGA
RNAcentral lists this ribosomal RNA (869 nucleotides) under Lojkania enalia. RNAcentral describes it as "partial large subunit ribosomal RNA". It matches the Rfam family "Eukaryotic large subunit ribosomal RNA", at positions 73 to 964 of the family's 3401-position model. The record is from RNAcentral. Lineage: Eukaryota; Fungi; Ascomycota; Dothideomycetes; Pleosporales.